UUUCCUAGCCGCAUUCUGACGCUGAGAGGCGAAAGCUAGGGGAGCAAACAGGAUUAGAGACCCUGGUAGUCCUAGCUGUAAACGAUGGACGCUAGGUGUGGGCCGGAAAGGUCCGUGCCGUAGUUAACGCGAUAAGCAUCCCGCCUGGGGAGUACGGCCGCAAGGCUAAAACUCAAACGAAUUGACGGGGACCCGCACAAGCAACGGAGCGUGUGGUUUAAUUCGAUGCUACACGCAGAACCUUACCUGGGCUUGACAUGUAGGUGGUAGUGAAGUGAAAGCGGAGCGACCCUUCGGGGAGCCUACACAGGUGCUGCAUGGCUGUCGUCAGCUCGUGCCGUGAGGUGUCGGGUUAAGUCCCGUAACGAGCGCAACCCUUGUCCUUAGUUACAAGUGUCUAAGGAGACUGCCGGUGACAAACCGGAGGAAGGUGGGGAUGACGUCAAGUCAGCAUGGCCCUUAUGUCCAGGGCGACACACACGCUACAAUGGUCGGUACAAUGGGCAGCGCAGCCGCGAGGUGAAGCGAAUCCCAACAAAGCCGAUCCCAGUUCGGAUUGCAGGUUGCAACCCGCCUGCAUGAAGCCGGAGUUGCUAGUAACCGCGCGUCAGCCAUAGUGCGGUGAUACGUUCCCGGGUCUUGUACACACCGCCCGUCACGUCAUGGGAGUUGGUAACGCCUGAGGCCGGUAGUCUGACC
This 699-nucleotide ribosomal RNA is filed under the name uncultured organism. RNAcentral's name for it is "bacterial SSU rRNA". It matches the Rfam family "Bacterial small subunit ribosomal RNA", at positions 725 to 1440 of the family's 1533-position model. The record is from RNAcentral.